GGCAACAAUUCUAAUAGUAAUACUAAAUAGGUCUAAAAUCAUUGGUCCCAAUGGGUAGAUCUUCUUAAAUUGUAUAUGUAUACAUAAUCCAUCAACAGACGAUGACAAUUCCUUUGACAAUAAAGGAUUCGAUCUCCCUCGCACUGGCAAGAAACUCUCACAAAGCACGCUCACUUUAAGGUAGAAGGAAAUAUAACUCGCUGAGUUGAGUACCAUAGAAAGUCCAGCCCCUCCUCUCCUUGAGAGUCCACUUCACUUCCUUCUAGUCAUGGGCUUUGCCCCAGUCCUUGCACCAAGAGCUGGAAAGGUUGUUGGAUAGCUGUAGGCAAUAGAUCCAGAGGCAGAGGCAAAGCUAGAAAAUUUAAUUUUUUUAUCUUGAAUGGGUCAAUGUUAUAUAAAAUCAAUUUGAAAACUAAUUAAUUAAACUAAUUAUAUAUAUAUAUGUUAAAAAGUUAGAAUAAUAAAGCGUAAUUAAGUUGGACAUUUUUUUAAGGAUGUCUAUGUUAAAAAAAUAAAAAUUGUUUUGUUAGGGCAAAUAACUACAAUAAAAUAAUUUAAUUUUUUCAUGGAUAUACACACACACACAAACACCUUUAGAGGUGUUGGAGGCCAUAGCUCCCGUUUGCCUCCCCUCCCCCUGCACUUGAAUAGAUUGAUUUGAGUUAUUCAUUAAAUUGCCAUAUACAAUUUGAUGAAUGAGGAAAUUGCUCACUCUUAGCCAUACCAAAAUCAGUGAAUGUCUGACAAUGAAAAUGAUGCAGUUCGUACCCCAAAUUGAAGUACCGACUCCAAAUGCCAAUUUGUUCAAACAUAUUCAACUACUGAAUGUCUGUUCUAAGAAUCCAAAAGAGCUUCUAAUUAAAUUAACAAGUCCCUGACCACCAAAAUUAAUAAAAUCAUGACCAAACCAGAGUAGAAGGAUGCCUUAAAUGAGAGCUUGAUGAUUGCUCUUCUGAGAUAAUGAAAAGAAAGAGAGAGAGAGAGAGA
This 987-nucleotide unclassified non-coding RNA is filed under the name Hevea brasiliensis (rubber tree). The record is from RNAcentral. Lineage: Eukaryota; Viridiplantae; Streptophyta; Magnoliopsida; Malpighiales; Euphorbiaceae.